This 237-nucleotide ribosomal RNA is filed under the name uncultured bacterium. RNAcentral's name for it is "partial 16S ribosomal RNA". It matches the Rfam family "Bacterial small subunit ribosomal RNA", at positions 14 to 233 of the family's 1533-position model. The record is from RNAcentral.
UGAUCAUGACUCAGGAUGAACGCUGGCGGCGUGCUUAACACAUGCAAGUCGAACGAAGCACCUUGAUUCGAUUCUUCGGAUGAAGAUCUUGGUGACUGAGUGGCGGACGGGUGAGUAACGCGUGGGUAACCUGCCUCAUACAGGGGGGAUAACAGUUAGAAAUGACUGCUAAUACCGCAUAAGACCACAGCACCGCAUGGUGCAGGGUAAAAACUCCGGUGGUAUGAGAUGGACCCG